This is an RNA transcript of Puntigrus tetrazona (Sumatra barb), 3226 nucleotides long. RefSeq lists it as uncharacterized. The record is from RefSeq and is a predicted model, not a curated record. NCBI's taxonomy places the organism in Eukaryota, Metazoa, Chordata, Actinopteri, Cypriniformes, Cyprinidae. The transcript is spliced from 5 exons.
CACAGACGAGAAACACGGUUGUUAUGGAUGUGGAAAUGAGAGCGGAUGGACAGACACAUCAGUCACAUUUAAUCGACACACAAUGUCUAAACUGGAGAUUUUGAGUGUUUUUCUAACAGAGAGGUUAACAUUAGCCGCGCAGGAGAUAUUUAAGGCUGUGGAAGACAUAUUUUCCGAGUAUAAUGAGGAGAUGUGUCGCUCCAGACAGGAGAUUGAGCUUCUCAAGAGGAGACUGCAGCAGGCAGGAGUUCAGAUGGACUCUGUAGCGCAGCUUUCCUCCACUGAGACUCAAGGACAGAAAUUCACGCAGAAAUCUUCAGAGGAAUGGAGUGAACGUGACUUGGAGGAUACGGCGAUGCAUGCGAUACUAGAUAUUUGUACAAAGGAGGAGGAGAAUGAAGAGGACAUGCCUGUGUGCAGUGAAUCAACAUCUUUCUCAUCAUGUAUGGGCAUUUGUUGUGAUCAGACGCCCAGCAAAGACGCUGAAACCCGACACAUGAACAGUACUGAGAACAGUUUUCACUUUAUUGACCAAAUACCUCAAAUUAAAAAUGAGCCUGAGACUAAUAGUGAAACAGAUACCAACUGUCAAAUACAGCAGAACAUCACAAAACACAGCUCAGCUGACGGUGAUGCUUCCCGUAAAGUCAAAGUUAGCCACGCUGGCUCUCCCAGACACGAGAAACAAACAUUUAAUCUGCCCCUCAGAAAUCAAGAGAUUUUGUUGCGGCAUCGGAUGGAGCUGUCCCGGAUAAGAGAGAGAAUGUCUUUGAAAACCCAGCACUGUAAAAGUGAGAAAAAACAACUGUCUGUCUGUCAGGAUGAAGUGUCAAAAUCUGACAAGCAGAAACCCGACAAUGCAAGAUACAGUCAGGCCUGGAGGGAUCGUUUGAAAAAAGACCCCGUAAAAUUUGCUGAGUUCAAAUCUUUUGAAGCUGCAAGAGCAAGAGAGUAUAGAAGAAAGAGGACUGCUACUGCUAUAGAAAUUGAUAAGGAUAAUAAUCGUGAGCGACAGAGACGAUUCAGAACCAAAAAGAAGUUACAGCAGUGUAAAGCUGAUGAUAACCCUACGCCACCUAAAAAAACUAAAGUCUUAACAGAAGAAGAGAAGAUGAAGAAACGCGAGUAUGAUAGGAUAAAGAAAAGAGAAGAGAGAGAGAGGAUGGGAGCAGAGAAGAAAAGACAAAUUCGUGAAAGAGAUGCGUCAAGAAAGAGGGAAAAAAGAAACAAGACAAAAAAUCUUACUUUCACUCCACAUACAAAUGUUGGCUCUAAAGUGUACAGCUGGAUCUAAAUCUUCAAAACGGAUAGGAGUGUUAUGGAUGAGGGGAAAGAAUUCCAGCUGAGGCAGAGAAGUUGGACAUUAUAACAGACUUCAUCCAUUGCUGUACUCCACAUAAACAAGCAGCUUUGUAUCUGAAAAAAGCUCGACGAGAAAUUGAUUUUGAUGACCCAUUUCAAAAAGAACUUUAAUCCACGAUUUAAGCUCUAUUAAAGGAUACUGCGUCCUUGGAGAAGCCUGACUUUCACUAGUUUGUUGGUUGUCAAAAACUACUGAAUUCAACCAAUUUUAGCGAAGACACUUUCAUCUUUGUCCAGUAUAUCGCACUAAAUUAUCAAAGUCCUAAUCCAAUUAAAGUUUAAGAAGAAACAGAAUUAGCUAAAGUCUUCAUCAUUCCGUCCACAUCUCCUGCAUCUGCUGGAUUCUUCUUUGUCAAGAAGAAAGACAGAAGUCUUUGAACUUGUAUUGAUUAUAGAGGUUUAACUGAAAUAACUGUUAAGUUCCAGCAUCCUCUGCCUUUCGUUCCCUCAGCUCUCGAACAGCUUUGCUGAUGCAUGGAUGUUGGGAACAAUAUAGUUGCUUUUUGUCAAAAUCCUAAGGUAUCACAAGAACGUCUUUACAUGAGGACUCUAAAGAAACGGCCAAAAGAUUCCACAUGAAGAUGAAAUUCAGCAUGACCAUCCUAUAACACAAGUGAAGUUUGCCCUUGCUGUAACUCAUGUUUUCCUUUCUGUACGGGGUCUCCUGGGCUCCUGGGUACUUGCCUGUAUUCGUGUUACAGUGAUGGCUGAUGGAUGAAUGUUGAAGAUGGAAGCCAGUGUUGCAACUAAAAUGAUGUCUUUCCCUGUCAACGACAUACCGUGAACAUUAUAUUGCCGAAAGUAUUGGGUCAAUCCUUUCCGAUUAACAGAUCUGACUACUUUAGUACUUUUCAUGAGUGCUUCUGAUUUUAUAGUAACAGUUUGAACAGGACCCUUUUCUAACAUGGCAAUGCCUUUGUGUUUUAAAGGCAAAGUUUUAAAAAGAAAUGAUUGAUUCAGUCAGUGUGGAAAAACUUGACUGAGAGCAAAGUCAUAAUGCCAACUGGACACAUCUGGUGUGACUUUAAAUGCAGAUGUUGAGCCCAAAACUCAUCACCAAACACCAAUGACUUGUACAUGUGGGUGCAGUCAUUUUAGACACUUCCAAAAAUGUUGCAACAGAGGUGCAAUCAGUAAACACAUUAAUUAUGUUUCCAUCUUUGGAAGUGCCUUUUUGUAUUGUAAAGAUGGGGGUCUCCCAAUACUUUAGUUUUUUUUAGUUUACAUACAAAUCAUUGGUGUUUGGUGAUGAGUUUUUGGCUCAGGGUCUGUAUUUCAAGUCACACCAGAUGUGUCCAGACAGAAGUUCUUCCACACUGACUGAAUUAAUCAUUUCUUUUUAAACCAUGCCAGAUGCAUUGUCGUGUUAGAAUAGAAAAGGGUAAUGUCCAAACUGUUACUAUAAAAUAGCACAGUUCCCUAGAAUAUAAUUAUAUGCAUAAACAUGUAAGGUUUGCGCUCAUGGAAAUUGCAAAAGCAGUCAGAUCUGUUAAACGGAAGGGGGUGACAUAAAUACUUUUGCCAAUAUAGUGUAGAUGUUAAAAUAGUUGACCUAUACUGGCCUGUGACUGAAGAAAAGAACACCGUACCUUAUAACCCUACUGCAAGUGAACACAACCAACUUCCUAGAAAACAAAAAGUUCUCUAGAUGAAACUUAAUAAAUCAGGAUUUGCAGAAACGCUGUCCUGUAAACCCAUCCAACCAAGAGAUGUGGUAGAAGUUUCUGGAGCCACAUGGAGUCUUUUUUUUUCCUGGAUCAAGAUUUCUGACGUUGAACUAGUGGAUCCAGUCCACUAUUUCAGCCUGUAAACGUUUGAUAAAAAUGAGUUUAAAACAUUAAUUAUUAAAAAAACAAUGUAAACA